RNAcentral lists this long non-coding RNA (319 nucleotides) under Eutrema salsugineum. RNAcentral's name for it is "long non-coding RNA (ESAL_LNC001298)". Lineage: Eukaryota; Viridiplantae; Streptophyta; Magnoliopsida; Brassicales; Brassicaceae. The record is from RNAcentral.
AAACUUUGAUAUCGUCUCAGGACAUGGACCUCAGCAACAAGAGUUCCAAACUUAGCGCCUCAAACGGCCAAAACUAAAUCCGAUCUAAAAUGCCUUCGCACUAUCUCUUUCCUAACUCAAACGCCUCGGCACUUACGGUCAAAGGCACAAAAGAACGACAAUCUCUUUAAAAAGUCAACCCCCAGUUCGAGACUUAGACUUAAACAGAAUCCGUAACAGCCUGUCCCUCAAUCCGGCUUUCUAUCGUGGUUUCAUAACAGUUCGGCCAAGGAAGCAAACAAAAGCACUCUUGGCCCAGCUCGGCAAACCGGUCCACGAC